GAGCGCCGUAACAAUACGGAGCGGCAGACGGGAGAGUAACACGUGGGAACGUGCCCUUCAGUUCGGAACAACCCAGGGAAACUUGGGCUAAUACCGGAUACGUCCGUAAGGAGAAAGAUUUAUCGCUGAAGGAUCGGCCCGCGUCUGAUUAGCUAGUUGGUGAGGUAACGGCUCACCAAGGCGACGAUCAGUAGCUGGUCUGAGAGGAUGAUCAGCCUCACUGGGACUGAGACACGGCCCAGACUCCUACGGGAGGCAGCAGUGGGGAAUAUUGGACAAUGGGCGCAAGCCUGAUCCAGCCAUGCCGCGUGGAUGAUGAAGGCCCUAGGGUUGUAAAGUCCUUUCGGCGGGGAAGAUAAUGACGGUACCCGCAGAAGAAGCCCCGGCUAACUUCGUG
Molecule: ribosomal RNA, 397 nt
Filed under: uncultured bacterium
Lineage: Bacteria
Description: bacterial SSU rRNA
Rfam family: Bacterial small subunit ribosomal RNA
Source: RNAcentral